AGGUCAAUCCACAGCUGUGAAGUUGUUUUGAGAAUGGCAGGCUGAGAAGGCUUCCCAGAGGCUCCAGAGCCAGGACAAAACAGAUGGCCCCUCCCCCGCUAACAUUCCCAGGAAGGUGAAUCAAAUCCCAGGGUAGAUAGGCGCCAGGAAAAAGGUUAUAAACCUCAGGGCCCCCCUCCCCACCAGAACAGUAGCGCUGUGGGACCUGACUGGGUUUGGGCUUUGAGUUCUCCAGGAUUCUCCCCACCAAGAGAUGGGGCCGACAUCUCUCCUCCCCAAGGCCAUGGAAUUGGCCCUGCACCCUGUGGGGCUUCGUUGGAAGGCUGGGACCUUCAGGCCAAUAUUGUGGUUCCUGCUCUCGUUGGCGUCUCUGAACUAAAGGAGCCAAAUCUUUUCCAGGGUUUGAAAUUCCAGACGCGGCGGCAGAAAAGCUGAUGACUCCUCAGGAUAUUAUGGAUUAUAUUGCCGAUACGCAAGACGUGUAUGAUUGAGCUUCUCAAGUGGAGUAUUCCUUGUUUUGUUCCGAGAGCUGGAUGAAGGGAUGGAGAAGGACGAGCCUGGCAAGCCACCCCCUUUGCGGUUUGGAAUCCCUGGGGCUCUCAGUUUUGUUUAUCCUAUUUAAAGUUGUAAAUGUUGGCCAUCAGAAUAAAUAUGAAAAAUUCUUA
Ahaetulla prasina is the source of this 665-nucleotide long non-coding RNA. RefSeq lists it as uncharacterized. The transcript is spliced from 2 exons. NCBI's taxonomy places the organism in Eukaryota, Metazoa, Chordata, Lepidosauria, Squamata, Colubridae. The record is from RefSeq and is a predicted model, not a curated record.